UUGCCUUAAACUAAUGAGUAAGGAAAACAAAGCGGGCGGUGAGAGCCGGCCGCGGCGCCCGAACCGUAAGGUGCGCAAGAAUUUAUGGAGGGGUGAUAGGCUGGCCGAGCGUUGACGCUGCUUACUUUGCAGAACUCGCUCGCGCGGGCCUCCC
This is a small nuclear RNA of Diospyros lotus (date-plum), 154 nucleotides long. RefSeq annotates it as U12 minor spliceosomal RNA. The transcript has a single exon. The record is from RefSeq and is a predicted model, not a curated record. Lineage: Eukaryota; Viridiplantae; Streptophyta; Magnoliopsida; Ericales; Ebenaceae.